AAAUAUAAAAAUUACAGUAAUGUACAAAUGUUAUUGACAAAUUAUUUAAUCGAUUAUCCAAACUUACUAUCAUUGGUAACUAUUUUUCUUGUACUCUUAAUCAUAGUUUUACGUAUAACUUAUUUAAUUCGUUCUCAAUUUGACAGUAUUGCUUUUUUUUUGUUAUGUGUAUAUUCCGCUAUUUGUUUGUUGAUUGUGAACCUAUUUUGAUAUAUUUUUUUAUUUAAUAGGAUAAUACAUCUCAAGGAAGAACGGAAAAUUACUUUCUAUUUUGAUUAUCCAUUAUUUUAUUUAUAAAGCACGUUAUUAUUUCAUCUUUACAUAAUUUAUAUUCCAGAACAUCCGUAAUUCAAUUUAGAAUCAUUAUCUCUCUAAUAGUCUUUAUUUUAAGUUUCCGCUCUCUCUCUCGCUCUUGUAUUCAGUUAUUUUUGGAGUUGUGAUCAGGCGAUGGAACUUGGAUCAAGCAAAACCGCGCAUAAAUUUAAUUCUGUAAAACGGGGAUGAAACUAGUCACGCGAUUGGUUAAAUUGCGAAAUAUUUACCGCGAACCGUCGCAGAAAUGUAAUUUGUUGCUUCUGAGUGGCGUUUUAUACGUCAUGAAACGCGCUUGGUGCAUUAUAAGUUCAUGUUUCGUAGCGUUAGGACGUUCUUUUCACGUCUCUUAAAUUCAACUUAUCCAGCCAAUUUUUUCGCAGAAUUAGUUUUAUUUUUCUUUCUACGUGUAAUACCCUGAAAGGUUAUAUUGAUUAAUUCCUACUAUAUUAUUGUUUUUCGCAAUUGUCCGCAGCAUGUGCAUAAGUUAAAUUGACAGACGUCACGUCGCCAUUUUAUUAGUUUUUGACAGUGGUUUUUGAUUAUCUGUUUAUGUUUUAUUUCAUAUUUCUUUUAUUUAAUAUGAGUCAAAGUGAAAAGGCUUACAUUUAUUUAUUUACUUACAUUUUCCGCGUAACAGGUGUCUAUUAUUUUGCUUAUUAAUCAAUUGUACAUUGUAUCUAAUAUAUUAGCAGACACCUUUGAAAUAUUUUUGAUUAAAAGUAGUUAAUAAUUGUUUUUGUCCGUUUGUAGAGAUUGGUCAACAAUUGAGAGAGAUUGGGAUUGGUAUCCUUUGCUUACUGGAAAGACGAGUCAUCCCCUACGGUGUUUUAGCUGCUAACUUUUCAUUGUAGAGGCUCUUGUAGUUGAUUAAGGAACAUUAGAAGAACUCGGGAUAUCAUUAAAUUAUGGAGCAUUAGUUGUAUCAGUCCUCAUUUGCUCCUGAAGUAGCUCUACCUAUGGUCUUAAACAAAGCAUGAAAGUGCCCUUUUUCUAUUGGGAACGGAGACAGUUUGCUGAAGAAAGGAUUUAUGACAAUGAUUGUCCAAAUAACGAGAAGGAAUUGCAGUUAAUUUUGAUGCUACUGAAACAACGGAUGAU
Agrilus planipennis (emerald ash borer) is the source of this 1413-nucleotide long non-coding RNA. RefSeq lists it as uncharacterized. The transcript is spliced from 3 exons. The record is from RefSeq and is a predicted model, not a curated record. NCBI's taxonomy places the organism in Eukaryota, Metazoa, Arthropoda, Insecta, Coleoptera, Buprestidae.